AACGAACGCUGGCGGCAGGCUUAACACAUGCAAGUCGAACGCCCCGCAAGGGGAGUGGCAGACGGGUGAGUAACGCGUGGGAACAUACCCUUUUCUACGGAAUAGCUCUGGGAAACUGGAAUUAAUACCGUAUACGCCCUACGGGGGAAAGAUUUAUCGGGGAAGGAUUGGCCCGCGUUGGAUUAGCUAGUUGGUGGGGUAAAGGCCUACCAAGGCGACGAUCCAUAGCUGGUCUGAGAGGAUGAUCAGCCACAUUGGGACUGAGACACGGCCCAAACUCCUACGGGAGGCAGCAGUGGGGAAUAUUGGACAAUGGGCGCAAGCCUGAUCCAGCCAUGCCGCGUGAGUGAUGAAGGCCUUAGGGUUGUAAAGCCCUUUCACCGAUGAAGAUAAUGACGGUAGUCGGAGAAGAAGCCCCGGCUAACUUCGUG
RNAcentral lists this ribosomal RNA (431 nucleotides) under uncultured bacterium. RNAcentral describes it as "partial 16S ribosomal RNA". It matches the Rfam family "Bacterial small subunit ribosomal RNA", at positions 29 to 507 of the family's 1533-position model. The record is from RNAcentral.